RNAcentral lists this transfer RNA (76 nucleotides) under Rhodospirillales bacterium. Its description in RNAcentral is "tRNA-Ala". It matches the Rfam family "tRNA". Rfam says of the family: Transfer RNA (tRNA) molecules are approximately 80 nucleotides in length. Their secondary structure includes four short double-helical elements and three loops (D, anti-codon, and T loops). Further hydrogen bonds mediate the characteristic L-shaped molecular structure. tRNAs have two regions of fundamental functional importance: the anti-codon, which is responsible for specific mRNA codon recognition, and the 3' end, to which the tRNAs corresponding amino acid is attached (by aminoacyl-tRNA synthetases). tRNAs cope with the degeneracy of the genetic code in two manners: having more than one tRNA (with a specific anti-codon) for a particular amino acid; and 'wobble' base-pairing, i.e. permitting non-standard base-pairing at the 3rd anti-codon position. The record is from RNAcentral. Lineage: Bacteria; Pseudomonadati; Pseudomonadota; Alphaproteobacteria; Rhodospirillales.
GGGGCCGUAGCUCAGUUGGGAGAGCGCUACAAUGGCAUUGAAGAGGUCAGGGGUUCGAUUCCCCUCGGCUCCACCA